RNAcentral lists this transfer RNA (63 nucleotides) under Freysuila caesalpiniae. RNAcentral describes it as "tRNA-Ser". Lineage: Eukaryota; Metazoa; Arthropoda; Insecta; Hemiptera; Psyllidae. The record is from RNAcentral.
AAGCUUUAUAAUUUAUAACAAAAUAUUUACCUUGAAAGUAAAAUAAGGAAUACUCCUUAAGCU